This 253-nucleotide ribosomal RNA is filed under the name uncultured bacterium. Its description in RNAcentral is "partial 16S ribosomal RNA". It matches the Rfam family "Bacterial small subunit ribosomal RNA", at positions 524 to 776 of the family's 1533-position model. The record is from RNAcentral.
UACGAAGGGUGCAAGCGUUACUCGGAAUUACUGGGCGUAAAGCGUGCGUAGGCGGGUCUUUAAGUCAGGGGUGAAAUCCUGGAGCUCAACUCCAGAACUGCCUUUGAUACUGAGGAUCUUGAGUUCGGGAGAGGUGAGUGGAACUGCGAGUGUAGAGGUGAAAUUCGUAGAUAUUCGCAAGAACACCAGUGGCGAAGGCGGCUCACUGGCCCGGUACUGACGCUGAGGUGCGAAAGCGUGGGGAGCAAACAGG